This 755-nucleotide long non-coding RNA is filed under the name Homo sapiens (human). Its description in RNAcentral is "LINGO1 antisense RNA 1". The record is from RNAcentral. Lineage: Eukaryota; Metazoa; Chordata; Mammalia; Primates; Hominidae.
GGCACCCACAUUGGCACCCUCUGGUCUUGUCCCCACAGGACACCCCUCUGUCAUGGUGAUCAAGACGGCUAGGGGGCAGGGAAGGCGAGAAGAGGGAGGAGACACUGGUGUGACUCAUAGCAAAGUAAGAGCUUCUUCCCUCCUCUCUGCACCCCAAAUACGAUGAGGAGACUGAGUCCCAAGAUCACCCAGAUACAAUAAUAAUUGUAGUAUUAACAUACAAGUUACCAUUGAAGGAGCACCGGCUGCGUUCCAGGCACUGUGCUAGACACUUCACAUGCGGUGAACCUGUGAGGCAGAUCCAUGACUGGCAACAUUGUACAGAGGGGAAAACUGAGGCUCAAAGAAGGCAAGUCACUAGCCCAGCUACUGUCACACAGCCAGGCCAGCAGAGCGGCAAUGUCCACUCACACAACCAUGCACAUGGCCACUGUGUCAGCUGCAUGCCUUCCCCACUCCCCAGCUGGCUGAAAACUGGUGGAGCUGAGAUCUGAACCCACAUUUAUCCAUGUUCUUACUCCAAGGCUGGGCUCUACUCCCAUGUUGACUGCUGCUGCCAAGAGAACUUUAAACAGCAGUUCUAGCCACAGCAGGACCCAGCCUGAUCCUGGCCCCAACCUGUGGCCAAAUGGGACAGAGAUCCAGGCCCAGCUUGUCUCAGCCUCUGGCCUGACCUCUCUGGGCCUCAGAGGCCUUGCUAUGAAAGGGGGAGCUGUAGGUAGAAUAAAUGAAGUGGCACUGAGGCCCCCCGGGAC